RNAcentral lists this ribosomal RNA (649 nucleotides) under uncultured bacterium. RNAcentral describes it as "bacterial SSU rRNA". It matches the Rfam family "Bacterial small subunit ribosomal RNA", at positions 43 to 681 of the family's 1533-position model. The record is from RNAcentral.
CAGGCCUAACACAUGCAAGUCGAGCGGUAACAGAGAGUAGCUUGCUACUUUGCUGACGAGCGGCGGACGGGUGAGUAAUGCUUGGGAAUAUGCCUUAUGGUGGGGGACAACAGUUGGAAACGACUGCUAAUACCGCAUGAUGUCUACGGACCAAAGUGGGGGACCUUCGGGCCUCACGCCAUAAGAUUAGCCCAAGUGGGAUUAGCUAGUUGGUGAGGUAAUGGCUCACCAAGGCGACGAUCCCUAGCUGGUUUGAGAGGAUGAUCAGCCACACUGGGACUGAGACACGGCCCAGACUCCUACGGGAGGCAGCAGUGGGGAAUAUUGCACAAUGGGCGCAAGCCUGAUGCAGCCAUGCCGCGUGUGUGAAGAAGGCCUUCGGGUUGUAAAGCACUUUCAGUAAGGAGGAAAGGUUAAGUGUUAAUAGCACUUAGCUGUGACGUUACUUACAGAAGAAGCACCGGCUAACUCCGUGCCAGCAGCCGCGGUAAUACGGAGGGUGCGAGCGUUAAUCGGAAUUACUGGGCGUAAAGCGUACGCAGGCGGUUUGUUAAGCGAGAUGUGAAAGCCCCGGGCUCAACCUGGGAACUGCAUUUCGAACUGGCAAACUAGAGUGUGAUAGAGGGUGGUAGAAUUUCAGGUGUAGCGG